GCUUGCGAAUUUCCAAAUUAUUUGUGUUGUAUUAGCAAUAUUAUGUGUGUUUAAGUGAUCACUAAUAUCCUAUAUAUUGCGCGAAUUACCCAGAGACCAACAUGGGAACAAGGCCUAUAUUUCGCUCAA
This is a long non-coding RNA of Sitophilus oryzae (rice weevil), 129 nucleotides long. RefSeq lists it as uncharacterized. The transcript is spliced from 2 exons. The record is from RefSeq and is a predicted model, not a curated record. Lineage: Eukaryota; Metazoa; Arthropoda; Insecta; Coleoptera; Curculionidae.